UACCUUACCACUCGGAUAACCGUGGUAAUUCUAGAGCUAAUACGUGCCUUAAGGGCCACCUUUUUGGUGGUCUGCAUUUAUUAGAUACAAACCAAUGCCAGCAAUGGCUCCUGGUGAUUCAUAAUAACUUGGCGGAUCGCAUGACCUUGCGUCGGCGACGUAUCAAUCAAAUUUCUGCCCUAUCAAGUUUCGAAGGUAGGAUAGAGGCCUACCUUGCUUACAACGGGUAACGGGGAAUAUGGGUUCGAUUCCGGAGAGGGAGCCUGAGAAAUGGCUACCACAUCCAAGGAUGGCAGCAGGCGCGCAAAUUACCCAAUCUCGAUACGAGGAGGUAGUGACAAAAAAUAACGAUGUGAAGCCUUUAUGGUGUCACAAUCGCAAUGAAGAGAAUUUAAAUCACUUCAUGAGUAACAAUUGGAGGGCAAGUCUGGUGCCAGCAGCCGCGGUAAUUCCAGCUCCAAUAGCGUAUACUAAAGUUGUUGCAGUUAAAAAGCUCGUAGUUGACUCUCGGACAAGGGCAGCUGGUCCGGCCUCUGGUCGGUACUAGCUGGACCGAGUCUUACCUCUUGGGGAGGGUCGGUGCUCUUUAUUGAGUGCCGGCCACCAGAACCAAGAAGAUUACUUUGAGAAAAGUAGAGUGUUCAAAGCAGGCAAUUGCUUGAAUACCUUAGCAUGGAAUAAUAAAAUAGACCUUGGUUCUAUUUUAUUGGUUUAAGGACCAAAAUCAUGAGUAAUAGGAACAGUCGGGGGCAUUCGUAUUCCGGAGCUAGAGGUGAAAUUCUUGGAUUUCCGGAAGACGUACUACUGCGAAAGCAUCUGCCAAGGAUGUUUUCAUUAAUCAAGAACUAAAGUUAGGGGAUCGAAGACGAUUAGAUACCGUCGUAGUCUUAACUAUAAACGAUGCCGACUAGGGAUCCGUCAGCGUAUUUUUUACCUGACGGGCACCUUAGGAGAAAUCAAAGUGUUUGGGUUCUGGGGGGAGUAUGGUCGCAAGUCUGAAACUUAAAGGAAUUGACGGAAGGACACCACCAGGAGUGGAGCCUGCGGCUUAAUUCGACUCAACACGGGAAAACUCACCAGGUCCAGACAUGGGAAGGAUUGACAGAUUGAGAGCUCUU
Molecule: ribosomal RNA, 1118 nt
Filed under: uncultured eukaryote
Lineage: Eukaryota
Description: bacterial SSU rRNA
Rfam family: Eukaryotic small subunit ribosomal RNA
Source: RNAcentral